UGGGGAAUAUUGCACAAUGGGCGCAAGCCUGAUGCAGCCAUGCCGCGUGUAUGAAGAAGGCCUUCGGGUUGUAAAGUACUUUCAGCGGGGAGGAAGGGAGUAAAGUUAAUACCUUUGCUCAUUGACGUUACCCGCAGAAGAAGCACCGGCUAACUCCGUGCCAGCAGCCGCGGUAAUACGGAGGGUGCAAGCGUUAAUCGGAAUUACUGGGCGUAAAGCGCACGCAGGCGGUUUGUUAAGUCAGAUGUGAAAUCCCCGGGCUCAACCUGGGAACUGCAUCUGAUACUGGCAAGCUUGAGUCUCGUAGAGGGGGGUAGAAUUCCAGGUGUAGCGGUGAAAUGCGUAGAGAUCUGGAGGAAUACCGGUGGCGAAGGCGGCCCCCUGGACGAAGACUGACGCUCAGGUGCGAAAGCGUGGGUAGCAAACAGG
This 429-nucleotide ribosomal RNA is filed under the name Chloroflexota bacterium. RNAcentral describes it as "Chloroflexi bacterium partial 16S ribosomal RNA". It matches the Rfam family "Bacterial small subunit ribosomal RNA", at positions 355 to 776 of the family's 1533-position model. Lineage: Bacteria; Bacillati; Chloroflexota. The record is from RNAcentral. RNAcentral also lists the same sequence under 1 other name.